UACGUAGGGCGCAAGCGUUAUCCGGAAUUAUUGGGCGUAAAGAGCUCGUAGGCGGUUUGUCGCGUCUGCUGUGAAAGACCGGGGCUCAACUCCGGUUCUGCAGUGGGUACGGGCAGACUAGAGUGCGGUAGGGGAGACUGGAAUUCCUGGUGUAGCGGUGAAAUGCGCAGAUAUCAGGAGGAACACCGGUGGCGAAGGCGGGUCUCUGGGCCGUAACUGACGCUGAGGAGCGAAAGCGUGGGGAGCGAACAGG
This 253-nucleotide ribosomal RNA is filed under the name uncultured bacterium. RNAcentral's name for it is "partial 16S ribosomal RNA". It matches the Rfam family "Bacterial small subunit ribosomal RNA", at positions 524 to 776 of the family's 1533-position model. The record is from RNAcentral.